This is a non-coding RNA of Podarcis lilfordi (Lilford's wall lizard), 19530 nucleotides long. NCBI's taxonomy places the organism in Eukaryota, Metazoa, Chordata, Lepidosauria, Squamata, Lacertidae. The record is from the annotation of a GenBank genome assembly.
GGCCCUACACGAUCCCCGGGACAGUUAGACUGCCUUCGCCUCCCCAAGAUGGAUACCUGAAGGUUCCCACCUAACCUCAGACAGUUGACCAAUCCCAGCUGGGGAGGGGUUGCCAGGGGAGUUGACCAGGUAGGGUUAGGACCACCCUGCACAAACAAUAGAGGGUGGAACUUACCUGGGAGUCCUCAGUUGGCUCCAGAGCUUCUCCCACCCUGCCCUCCCUCAGUUUAUCUGUGACUGGAUUAAAGACUUUCGAAUAGAUCGGACACAAACAGUGAGGAUUGGACAUGUAACAUCUAAUUCCUUAAAAAUCAGCACUGGCACACCACAGGGAUGUGUGCUAAGUCCCUACCUGUAUUCAUUGUAUACAUACGAUUGUGUAACAUCUGACCCGUCUACUGCAGUUAUUAAGUUUGCAGAUGAUACCACCAUAAUGGGUUUAAUAACAGGUGGAGACGAAUCAGCGUAUAGAGGGGAGGUCCAAAAAAUAUCUACAUGGUGCCUAGGGAACAACUUGCACCUUAAUAUCAGCAAGACAAAGGAGAUGGUGUUGGACUUUCGGAGGAAGAGAGGAGAACUAGCCCCGCUGUACAUCGGGGAGGGCUGUGUGGAGAGAGUCUCUUCCUUCAAAUUCCUAGGAGUUUAUCUCAGUGAAGACCUUACUUGGAAAAUCAAUACAACCCAGGUGGUUAAGAAAGCCCAACAGAGACUCCAUCUCCUCAGAGUAUUGCGAAAGAACGAUGUCAAUCAACAUUUGAUGAUCUCCUUCUACCGGUCCACAAUAGAAAGUGUCCUUUCAUACUGCAUCACGGUGUGGUACGCUGGUUUGACAUCAACUGAUAGGAAGUGCCUACAGAGGGUGGUGAAUACAGCACAAGAUAUUAUGGGCUGUCCCGUGAAUCCUCUGGAUGAAAUAGUGGAAGAACGUUGCCUCAGGAGAGUGAGGAAAAUUCUCAGGGAUGAUUCACACCCUGGCCGGCACUUUCUUGAUCUCCUGCCCUCGGGCAGAAGAUAUAGAAGCAUGAUUAGUUGCACCAACAGGGUAAAGAACAGCUUCUAUCCAUGGGCUGUUAGGCUGCUGAAUGAAAAGAUAACAACAGGGCAACUGACUUUUGGGUUUGGUGGGUGUGCGUCAGUAAACGAGGGGAAUUAAGACUAAGAGAGCUGAGUGGGGGGUGCUCGUGUAAUCUCACUGUAUACAAGUUGUACAAGUGACAAUAAAGUAUUCCAAUUUCAAUUUAUGCCUUCCUUUUGCAGGUUAACCUCUUCUUUACAGGUAUGCGGGUUCUGCUACGGUCAUUGAUGGUUGCUGUUGAAGGACCGGGAAGGAAUUUCCCUGCAUCGGCAGGUUUUGCCUUCCCCAUAGCAAAACAUCACAACUUUGGCGGUUUCAGGUCUUGGGCGGAAUCCUAUCUAUCUAUCCUCCCCAAAUGGGGACGGGGGGGCAUGAAGCAGUGACCCACGCCCCCUCUGCGGCGGCAAUCCCAGGGUUCCCCAUUAAAGGGGUUGUGUUGAGGGGAGUCACUGGCCAUACACCGUUAGGUUGUCAGUGCUCUCCCCUGAGUUGCGGUGAAAUUGGGUGUCGGGCUCUCUGCUUAAACAUACAUUUUCCAGAGCCAGCCCAAUCCCCACACAGUUUGGAUAACCCUGAUGUCUCCCAGAUCCCCGGCCGGGGACUGGGAGGGAUAAACGCCCAGUGCCUAAGCCAAGGUCUCCCUACAUCUGAAAGUUUAAUAAAGUUGAGGCCAAUUUUAAUCCCAUAACAUGUUGUCAUGAGUCAGUAUUCCUCCCGGGGGUCGCCUGGGGUCGGGGGGUCUCUUCCUGAGACUGAACCUGAGAUUUCUCCAUGGAAAACAUCUUCUCUAGUACUGUAUUAUGGUCUCAUCUUUCCAGAAGAUAAAUAUGUGAAGCCGCGCUAUGAAUGGUUAUUCUAUAAACCUUCUGCUCCAUUAAUCUGCCAAAUCCUCUUUUAAAGCCAUCCUGACUGGCAGCCAUUACUGCCUCCUGAGGGAGGAAGUUUUGCCAAAAACUCUGUGCUGUGUGAGGAAGAAAUCCUUUCUUUUACCUCUCCUGAAUUUUCCAACAUUCAGCUUUGUCAGAUGGUCAAGAAUUCCAACAUCACGAGAGAGGGAGGAAAACUUUUCUCUAUCCACUUUCUCCAGACCAUAAUGUAUUGUUGUUGUUUAGUCGUUUAGUCGUGUCCAACUCUUCAUGACCCCCUAGACCAGAGCACGCCAGGCACCCCUGUCUUCCACUGCCUCCCGCAGUUUGGUCAAACUCAAGCUGGUAGCUUUGAGAACACUGUCCAACCAUCUCGUCCUCUGUCAUCCCCUUCUCCUUGUGGCCUCCAUUUUUCCCAACAUCAGGGUCUUUUCCAGGGAGUCUUCUCUUCUCAUGAGGUGGCCAAAGUACUGGAGCCUCAGCUUCAGGAUCUGUCCUUCCAGUGAGCACUCAGGGCUGAUUUCCUUAAGAAUGGAUAGGUUUGAUCUUCUUGCAGUCCAUGGGACUCUCAAAAGUCUCCUCCAGCACCAUAAUUCAAAAGCAUCAAUUCUUUGGCGAUCAGUCUUCUUUAUGGUCCAGCUCUCACUUCCAUACAUCACUACUGGGAAAACCAUAGCUUUAACUAUACGGACCUUUGUUGGCAAGGUGAUGUCUCUGCUUAUACAUUAUGUAUACCGGUCCACAAUAGAAAGUGUCCUUUCAUACUCCAUCACGUGGUGUGGUACGCUGGUUUGACAUCAACUGAUAUGAAGUGCCUACAGAGGGUGGUGAAUACAGCACAAAAUAUUAUGGGCUGUCCCGUGAAUCCGCUGGAUGAAAUAGCGGAAGAACGCUGCCUCAGGAGAGUGAGGAAAAUUCUCAGGGAUGAUUCACACCCUGGCCGGCACUUUCUUGAUCUCCUGCCCUCGGGCAGAAGAUAUAGAAGCCUGAUUAGUCGCACCAACAGGGUACAGAACAGCUUCUAUCCGUGGGCUCUUAGGCUGCUGAAUGAAAAGAUAACAACAGGGCAACUGACUUCCGGGUUUGGUGGGUGUACGUCAGUAAACAAGGGGAAUUAAGACUAAGAGAGCUGAGUGGGGGCUGCUCGUGUAAUCUCACUGUAUACAAGUUGUACAAGUAUUUCAAUUUCAAUUUUUGUCAAAAACAGAAUGCCUCAUCCGCUUUGAGGGAAAGGCACUCCGUCUGACACUGCAUGGUUUUCAGAUGCAAAACCCCCUCCCUGCAAUGUAGGCCUGUUUUAUUAUCCUCAUGGGUGGGAAACGUCCGUGGCUCAGAACUGGGGCUAACUCAGCAACAAUUGUCUUGUUGCUUCCCCCUUAAGCCUAGAGGAGACACAGCCCUGGAAAGAAGGGGGGGCAAUCCCCAUUGUUUAGCUUGAAACACCCUCCUCCCCUUGGCACAGAGUUGUGGCGGCAAUUUCUCCGCUUCCAGUAAACCAGGAAUAAAUUACAGGGCAAAACAUCUUCUCUGUACAGCACCUGCCCGAGAACAGGGGACCCAGCAGGACUCUCAUCCCAGAGAUGCCAGCUUUUUGGGAGGGGAAAGUCUCCCCCCCCCCUUUGACCUCCUCCAUCAUUUCCUCCUCCGUCUCUUCAGCCUGAAGGAGUUAAAAGCCUUCCUCUGACAACGAGAGGGAGGAAUGUUCUGACUGGGUUGAUUUAUAAAAGGCGUUCGAGUGGGAGCCAGCUGCAGAAAAUGAAAAAAAAAUGAUCCCCUCUGCCCUUUCCACAUAUCCUCCCGAGCCAGAAGGAAUUGGCAAGCUCCAUAAGUGCCCUCUUCUCUCCGUACAUAUGGUGGCCAAACAGUGUUGUGCCAUCUAACAAGUCUCUUCUUUACCUCCACUCAUCCAACGGCCACUUCAGGAACAACAUCAUUCAAAUGAUGCCCCAGUUACAUGCCCUGUGGUGGCUGCUGGGUUAGAUUGCUGCAGUGAGCUCUGCCCAGAGCAUCCUUUGACGCCUGUCUGGAAAUAGCUUUUGGGGGAAAUCAUGGCCACAGACAAGUGAGUGUUCCGGUUUGCGAACUAUUUUUGGAAACCGAACGCCCAAUGGAUCUUCCGAUUGGCUGCAGGAACUUCCUGCAGCCAAUCAGAAGCUGUGCUUUGGUUUCCGAACAUUUUGGAAGUCGAACGGACUUCCGGAACGAGUUCCAUUCGACUUCCAAGGUACGACUGUAUUCGGGCUACAGGCAUUACUUGUGUCCAAGACAGAACCAAGAAGUUACCACUAGCCCAUGCUGACUCACACUGCUGCUAACUUGAGCUAACUUGGUGUCACGGAGCAUAAAAGGUAAAGGUAAAGGGACCCCUGACCAUUAGGUCCAGUCAUGGCUGACUCUGGGGUUGUGGCGCUCAUCUCGCUUUACUGGCCGAGGGAGCCGGCGUACAGCUUCUGGGUCAUGUGGCCAGCUUGACUAAGCCGCUUCUGGCGAACCAGAGCAGCGCAUGGAAACGCCGUUUACCUUCCCGCUGGAGUGGUACCUAUUUAUCUACUUGCACUUUGAUGUGCUUUCAAACUGCUAGGUUGGCAGGAGCAGGGACCGAGCAACAGUACUCACCCCGUCACAGGGAUUCGAACCACCGACCUUCUGAUCGGCAAGUCCUAGGAGCUGUGGUUUAACCCGCAGCGCCACCCGUGUCCCGUCACGGAGCAUGCUGACCAUUAAAUCACACAGUCCAAUGCUGAAGUUAACUCUUUAUUAGUUCUUGGCUGAGUGUCAGGCCUAUUGAGCACAGCAGGUGAUUUUCUCCUGCCUCCCCAUAGCUAUCUAUUUCUCCUCCUCUCCAAGGCUUUCUCCAAGCAAUCGGAGACUGUGUCUGCAUGCAGCCAGUCUCUCCUCCUCCCUCUUCAUGCCUUUCCUGGUUCUGGGAGACAGGGGGAGUUUGUCGCAGCAGGAGAGAGAGACACACAUGACUCUUCACCAGCCUGACUCAUCUCUGCCUCUUGGUCUCCUCUGCUGCUUCAGCUUCUGCCUCCGAGUCUGGACUCCUCUCUGUCACAGAAUCUCCCUACUCACUCACUUACAUCUACCGCUUCCAAUACCUCUUCUUCCCAGCCUUCUCCAUGGGACUUCUCAGCGUUGUUCCACCAGCACUCCCUGGGCUCUGAGGCGUCUUUCCGCUCACCACCUGGUUCCUCCCAACCAGUGCAUGAUACUUGGAGAAUAAGUAGGAAGGAAGUAAAGCCUUAAAAGAAAUGAUUUACUGUACCAACAAGUAGGUGUUAUGUACUGAGUUGAAUAGGAUCCAAAAGGCAGCAGUCUGAUUGGUCCUAGAACAAUAGGGUCCAGAAUGCAGCAGUCUGAUUGGUCCUAGAACAAUGCAGCAGUAUGAUUGGUCCGCAGGAGCCACCCAAUCCAGCUCCAGGUGGAAGUGAGUCCGCAACCUGACUGGCCUACAGGAGAAUCCUGGAAUUAGCCAAUCACGUGUGGCCCAUUGUGAAAAUAAUGUAUAUAUAGCAGAUAUUUUGGGGAAACUUUGAUUCCUCACUACUAUGAGCUGAAUAAAGAGCAUGAAAUCCACACUCGACUCCGAGUAUAUUUCACAGUUACUAAAAGAGAGAGAAAUAUGUUGCCUUUCUGUUCGUCUGUCUGUCUUUCUCACACAGAGAGAGAGAGUUCAGGUAGCUUAUUGCAAGCUCCGUUGCUUGACUCCCAACAAGCUUACCUCUCCAACCAAUUAUUUUGCCUCUUCCUACAGUUAGAUUCCCUGACCUGACCCUUCCAGGAGGACCCCUCUUGUGCAUCGCAAGCAUCUAAAUUUGCUGACAGCACCGUUCCCAGAGCCUCAAGACGCUAGAGCUGCUGAAGUAGGCAUAAAUGUUCUCUUUUCCGAUGGAGACGGACAAAAAUCUCGAUGCAAAACUCCGGCGUUACUCCUGAUGUGUUGGAGGACUAAUUAAACGAACAAAUGAGAUGAAACAGCUGGCCUGCAAUGAGAAUGCUAAUGAGCCUAACAUUUAGAAGAGGUGAGCAAAAGCCCAACGACAGCUGUGCGGUCUUCUUCUUCAUAAUUAAAAGAAAAUAUCUCGGUUUCCGAGCAGAGCGUUCUGGUCAUCUUGAAGCAGCAAAAGGAUCAUUCCUAAGCUGCCAGCCACUCCUGUGAGAGCAAAGGUUAAAGAUGGUAACGCAAGGCAGGCAUAGCUUGGGGAAUACUUUUGCUUGCCUUUUUCUGCUGCAGGGGAACGCAUCAAUUUAAGAACAAAUAAGUCCAUCUUAAGGGACGCGGGUGGUGCUGUGGGUUAAACCACAGAGCCUAGGGCUUGCCGGUCAGAAGGUCGGCGGUUCGAAUCCCCACGACGGGGUGAGCUCCCGUUGCUCGGUCCCUGCUCCUGUCAACCUAGUGCAAGUAGAUAAAUAGGUACCACUCCGGUGGGAAGGUAAACGGCGUUUCCGUGCGCUGCUCUGGUUCACCAGAAGCAGCUUAGUCAUGCUGGCCACAUGACUCAGAAGCUGUACGCUGGCUCCCUCGGCCAAUAAAACGAGAUGAGCGCCGCAAUCCCAGAGUCAUCUGCGGCUGGACCUAAUGGUCAGGGGUCCCUUUACCUUUAAGCCCAUCUUGUGGUGUAAUUCACUGUGAGUUUUUUCCCUUCUUCCCCAUUUAUUUACGUACACAGAAUCAUAGAAUCAUGGUUGUAAGGUUCAAAGGGACCCUGUGGUUUAUCUGUAAAUCAAACGUGACAGGUGGUCAACCAACCUCUGCUUCAAAAUCUCCAAGGAAGGACUGUUCACCACCUCCCAUGGAAGUCUAUUUCAAAGUCAAACAGGUAUUGCUGCCAGAAAGUUGCCCUGAAGUUCAGUCGGAAUCUCCUUUCUUGUAAGUUGAAGCCAUUAAUUCAGGUCCUACACUCUGCAGCAGGAAAAAACAUGAUCACUCCCAUCUUUCAUGUGACAAUCAGAUAUUUGAAGAGGGCUAUCCUAUCUCCUCUCAGCCUCCUCUUUUCCAGGCUAAACAUACCCAACUCCCUCAACUGGCAUGGUCUCCAGACCCUUGAUCAUCUUGGUUGCUCUCUUCUGCACACAUUCCAGCUUGUCGAUGUCCAUCUUAAAUUGUGGCAUCCAGAACUGGACCCAGUACAGUCAUACCUCAUGUCACGUUUGCUUCAUGUUAUGUUUUUUCACGUAAUAAUAAUAAUAAUAAUUUAUUAUUUAUACCCCGCCCAUCUGGCUGGGUUUCCUAGCCACUCUGGGUGGCUUCCAACUGAAUAUUAAAAACAAUACAGCGUCAGAUAUUAAAAACUUCCCUAAACAUGGCUGCCUUCAGAUGUCUUUUAAAAGUAAAAUAGUUGUUUAUUUCCUUGACAUCUUCUGGGAGGGCAUUCCACAGGGCAGGCACCACUACCGAGAAGGCCCUCUGCCUGGUUCCCUGUAACCACACUUCUCACAGUGAGGGAAUCGCUAGAAGGCCCUCGGAGCUGGACCCCAGUAUCCGGGCUGGUUGCGUCCUGCAGUGACCCGGAAGUCUAGUCAGCAUAGCCAGUGGUUAGGGAUUACCUGAGUUGUAGUUCAAGAACAUCUGGGGACCCAAGGUAGAGAAAGAUUGCUUGAAUGGUAGGACAGGCCCAAGAGAAAAUUCCCCCAGGGACUCUCACGCCCCACCAGCCUCUGUGAGCAGUUUCUUAAUAAUGUUCUUUGUCUUGCUUAUUAUUCGUCGCAAGCGGUUGUUCAGAACACUUUGCAUUCUCCAGGGGAAACCGCUACCAGCUUCAAAAGAGAAGGGGCAGAAAGCUCUUAUCAAACAACUUCAACAUAGCAGAGGAAAAGGCGGUGGCAGAACACCAGCCAACUAGGGCUGUUUUUAAUAAACUUUCCUACCAAGGCGGUAAAAACGCUCUCGAAAAACAAUCGCGCUGGAUAUUUAAAGACUCUCAUUUCAUAGGCAAUCCUAGACUUUGUUGUUGUUGUUGUUUCUCCUUCGGUUGGUUGUGAAGGCCACAUGAGUGCUUUCUCCAAAUGGAUCAGAUUAUUUAUUGACCUUGAGCCUAAUCUGCUCCUGCAGUUAGUCCACAUCUCCAGGUCCUUUGUUUUCGCUUAAAAUGGCAAGGCCAACACACACAAAGAGCUCAGAACCGCACCAUAGAUUUCAAGCACGCUUUGGCCACGUUAACAGCCUUCCCGCAAAGGAUCUUGGGAGCUGCACUUAGGACCAUAGGAAACUGCCAUAGGAGCCAACUCCAGGGGGCCAUGGGUGUUUCGGCACGCACAAUAAUAUAAUGGGGGGGCUGGGCACCCACAAAGUCAAUGAGAAAAGGUGGUAGCGAUAGUGGAAGCAAUUCAGCUCCACCCUCCGCAGCCAGCGAGUGAGUGAGGCACCUUUUCCAGCGGGGUGGGGCUCGGAUGCGGAGGCAGAGGUGGAAUCUAGACACAUAUAAAAACCGCUUUGAAAAUGCUUCUUUAAAGCCUUUUUUAAAAAAAAUACAUUGAAUUUUCCAUCAGGCUCAUCAUCGCUAUCUAGUGUCCCAUUGUAUAUCGCACUUAAAACACACUUGAAAUGUUUUCAAUGAAAUACUUUAUUGUCACUUGUACAACUUGUAUACAGUGAGAUUACACGAGCACCCCCCACUCAGCUCCCUUAGUCUUAAUUCCCCUUGUUUACUGACGCACACCCACCAAACCCAAAAGUCAGUUGCCCUGUUGUUAUCUUUUCAUUCAGCAGCCUAACAGCCCACGGAUAGAAGCUGUUCUUUACCCUGUUGGUGCAACUAAUCAGGCUUCUAUAUCUUCUGCCUGAGGGCAGGAGAUCAAGAAAGUGCUGGCCAGGGUGUGAAUCAUCCCUCAGAAUUUUCCUCACUCUCCUGAGGCAACGUUCUUCCGCUAUUUCAUCCAGCUGAUUCACGGGACAGCCCAUAAUAUCCUGUGCUGUAUUCACCACCCUCUGUAGGCACUUCCUAUCAGUUGAUGUCAAACCAGCAUACCACACCGUGAUGCAGUAUGAAAGGACACUUUCUAUUGUGGACUGGUAGAAGGAGAUCAUCAAAUGUUGAUUGACACCGUUCUUCCGCAAUACUCUGAGGAGAUGGAGUCUCUGUUGGGCUUUCUUAACAACCUGGGUUGUAUUGAUUUUCCAAGUAAGAUCUUCACUGAGAUAAACUCCUAGGAAUGUAAAGGAAGAGACUCUGUCCAUACAGCUGUCCCCGAUGUAUAGGGGGGCUAGUUCUCCUCUCUUCCUCCGAAAGUCCAACACCAUCUCCUUUGUCUUGCUGAUAUUAAGGUGCAAGUUGUUCCCUAGGCACCAUGCAGAUAUUUUUUGGACCUCCCCUCUAUACGCUGAUUCGUCUCCACCUGUUAUUAAACCCAUUAUGGUGGUAUCAUCUGCAAACUUAAUAACUGCAGUAGACGGGUCAGAUGUUACACAAUCGUAUGUAUACAAUGAAUACAGGUAGGGACUUAGCACACAUUUGUUUGCAGCUGUAUAGCUGAGUCCAGAGUCUCUCUGCCUCUGAAUCCGAGCCCCUCCCUGCGGAAAAGGGUGCCUCGCUGGCUGCAGAGAGGAAGAGGAGCCACUGCCGCAACCACAUGGGUGUGCGGUGUCACACUCACACACCUGCAUGUCAUGGUGUGAUGUCACACACACACUAUGUGCAGGCUCGUGCGUCUGACGUCACACAUCUGCAUUGCAGCGGCGGGCACCCACAACCCUGAGGGUGAGUUGGCACCCCUGGAGACUGCUGUAUAUCCUGGGUCAGACUAUUGCUCCAUCUAGCUCCAUACUGUCUACACUGACUGGCAGCAGCUCUGCAGCAGCUCAGGCAGGAAGAUGUUUCCAGCCACCCCUGGAGAUGCCACUGGUACAUUAUUAUUAUUAUUAUUAUUAUUAUUAUUAUUUGUAUAGCACCCCAUCUCAGGGUGGUUCACAACAUAAAACCACAAUAUAAAAACACAUCACGGUUUUUAAUCUGCUCACAUUGUUUGUUGGUUUGAGUUUGCUUUUAACUUUCACAUUUUAAGGGAUCGCACCAUAUAUUUUGGGACACGGGUGGUACUGUGUGUUAAACCACUGAGCCGAGGGCUUGCCAGUCGGAAGGUCAACGGUUCGAAUCCCGGCAACGGGGUGAGCUCCCGUUGCUCGGUCCCAGCUCCUGCCAACCUAGCAGUUUGAAAGCACGCAGUGCAAGUAGAUAAAUAGGUACCACUCCGGCGGGAAGGUAAACGGUGUUUCCGUGCGCUGCUCUGGUUCGCCAUAAGUGGCUUAGUCAUGUUGGCCACAUGACCCGGAAGCUGUACGCCGGCUCCCUUGGCCAAUAAAGCGAGAUGAGCGCAACAACCCCAGAGUCGUCCGUGACUGGACCAAACAGUCAGGAGUCCCUUUACCCUUUACCUUUAUGAUAUGUUUUAUUUAUUCAUUUCAAUGUUAUUUAAUGUGUUAUGCUAUCAUCACAUCUCCUUGGUGAGCCAAAGCUCCAUUUGCUCCUAGGGCACUUGCUACACACAUCAGAACGAAAAGGCCUCCCUUCACUUUCCGGGGAGGAGAUGUUUUACAGAGCUAAUAACUGCAGGGGAAUAAUCAGUAAAGGCGGGGGUGGAUACGUAGCAAAGAUCUGGAAGGAAAAUAUUCCAAAUAUGCUAGGGAGUGAAUGGAGGCUUCGUCUGCAGCAGGUAAUUCAAAACCAUUUGUCUCCAUCCAAAGCUCAGGUGUCCUUAUUAGAUGAACAAUCAUCAGCCGAGGAGCUAGGAUGUUGUUCUUCCCCGAAGUGGGAUGCAGGAAUUACCAGCAGAACCUUGGCAGAAGAGGCUGUAAAAACAAAAAGAACAAGUCAAGUGUUUCAGCUGUGGUACAGUAAGAUGAACUGCCCCAAGGGCACACGAUGCAACAACCUUGCUCAACCUAAAUCUUAUUCUUCUUCGGCGAUCAUUCAUAGCUGAGUAAGAUUGUCUUCCAUAAACACGGUUUUAACAAUGAGUCCGUAAGUGACUGUGGAGGCCAAUUCUGGAUCCACAAAUCCUUCCACAGUGGGGACAUAGGUUUCCGCGCGGGAGUUGAUCACGGUGUGGAUUUGCCAAGUGUGCCUUCUUCUUAGCACGUUUCUCCCUUGCGGCCUGAGAUGGAGUGUCUUCAAAGCCCAUCUCAAGAAGUGUGCAUUCACAUGAAAGCUUAUACCUAAAACUACUCAGUUGGUCUCUAUGGUGCUACAUUAUAAUUCUUAAAUUCUUUUGGAAGGAUUCUUUUAAAGACUUUCUUAGAUCCUAUAACUUUUUUGAAGACUUGAUUCUUUUAAGGGAGCUUUUAGGUUUUUAAGAAGAGUCUUUUUAACUAUCUUUUUAAAGAAUUGUUUUAAUUUAUUUUCAAAGCCCAUGACACCUUUGGAAAAAGCUCUUCUCCAACUGGAGCGCUCACAGGCCAGUGUUUCCCAGUUGUCAGUGUUCAGCGAGAACCUUUUUUGGGGAAUGAUAGAAUUGUAGAGUUGGAAGGGACCCCAGAAGUCAUCUAUUCCAACCCCCUGCCAUUCAGGAGUACAGGGAAAAGGUGGGAUAUGAGAUUACUUGUUUUGUGAAAACUGAUUGUUGUAAUGGUGGUUUGGUCUGAGGACUGGAUUUUGUAUGCAAGCUUUUAGGGGUAAUAUCAGGAAUGUUGGAAGCUGCUUAUACUGAGUCAAACCAUUGGUCCAUUUAGUUCAGCAUCAUCCCUUCUGAUGGGCACUGGCUCUCUAGGGACUUGGGUGAUGGAUCUUUUUAAAAAAGGUAAAAGGUAAAGGACCCCUGACAGUUAAGUCCAGUCACAGACAACUCUGGGGUUGCGGCGCUCAUCUCGCUUUACAGGCCGAGGGAGCCGUCGUUUGUCCAUAGACAGCUUUUCUGGGUCAUGUGGCCAGCAUGACUAAGCCGCUUCUGGCGAACUAGAGCAGCGCACAGAAGCGCCGUUUACCUUCCUGCCAGAGUGGUACCUAUUUAUCUACUUGCACUUUGACGUGCUUUCAAACUGCUAGGUGGGCAAGAGCAAGGACCGAGCAACGGGAACUCACCCCGUCGCGGGGAUUCGAACCGCCGACCUUCUGAUCAGCUAAGCUCUGUGGUUUAACCCACAGCACUAAUGGGUGCCUAAUUGAAUGAUUGGAUUGUUAAUUGCUCAGUACACAAGUGUGUCAGGUACCACUGUACAAAUUACAACAUAAUUAAAAUUUGGCACUGUGUGUGAAUCAAGCCUAUGUCUGCUUGAUAGUGUCAGGACGGACUACAGCUCCACUCUGAAUGGUCCAGGUCAGGCAUUGCAGCAAACCAAGAUUAAAGGUAAAGGUAAAGGGACCCCUGACCAUUAGGUCCAGUCGCAGACAACUCUGGGGUUGCAGCAAUCACCUUGCUUUACUGGCCGAGGGAGCUGGCGUACAGCUUCCGGGUCAUGUGGCCAACAUGACUAAGCCACUUCUGGCGAACCAGAGCAGUGCACAGAAACGCCGUUUACCUUCCCGCCGGAGCAGCAACUAUUUAUCUACUUGCACUUUGACAAAGCUUAAUUAAACUAAACGGCAGAUUAAUGAGGAAACAGCACAGAACAAAUUUAUGGGCGAACACAGAGUGACCUGGGCCGCAAAUAGACUGAUUCGUUCAUCUCUAGGUAGAGUCAUGUCUCAAAUCUCAUUGGUGAGACGUUGGGAGGAUAUGUCAUUGUCUAGGAUGCUCUGACAUUUGACUUCAGAGAAUGCUCAAAAUGAGAUGUGGGAAUUGUGUUCUCCGCAAACCCAGAGCCUGGCGAUGUGCAUCUUCUGCCAGAAUCUUGCUCCUCCCAAGGCAAGAAUCCCUCCAAAGAAAUCCUUCAAACUCCUCCACGCCGUUGCUCUUGAAAUGUUCCGAAAUAAACACAUACAUCUUCUGGUUCAGAGGCUGGGAGCGCCUGUUACAGGAUGACAGGCAGGGCAGGUUCCUUACCCUUUAAGGUCAACCUCAUCUGAAGCCCGGGCAAGAGGAACCUUUUCAAAUAACAGAGGUCUGGGGCCAUCGGGCGAAGAGCCAAGAAGCACCACUUGGAGAUAACUUGAAAGAAUUCAGAAGUGUGCUCUUCAGAUUCCCCCGUUUCCAAGUUCCACCCAACAUUCUGAAUUACAGACACAGCCGGCCAUUGAGGUAUGAGGGUUUUCUCUGUCUAGGACGGCCCACAAGUUUGGCCAUACAUUCAGAGCAUACAUUUAAAAUGCUAUGACACCACUAUAUUUCUUAUUUUUAAAUUUUAUAUAUACUUUUCAGAUUUAUAGGUAAAGGGACCCCUGACCAUUAGGUCCAGUCACAGACAACUCUGGGGUUGUGGCGCUCAUCUCGCUUUAUUGGCCGAGAGAGCCGGCGUACAGCUUCCGGGUCAUGUGGCCAGCAUGACUAAGCCGCUUCUGGCGAACCAGAGCAGCGCACGGAAACGCUGUUUACCUUCCCUCUGGAGCGGUACCUAUUUAUCUACUUGCACUUUGACGUGCUUUCGAACUGCUAGGUUGGCAGGAGCAGGGACGAAGCAACAGGAGCUCACCCUAAUGCGGGGAUUUGAACCACCGACCUUCUGAUUGGCAAGUCCUAGACUCUGUGGUUUAACCCACAGCGCCACCCGUGUCCCUUCAGAUUUAUACAUUUCCCCAAUUUUACAUUCAUCUUAACAUUUAGAAACUUGACUUCUCCCCUUUCCUUGGUUCCUUAAAUUUAUUUUUAAUAUCUUCUACAUAUCCAGAUCAACUUAAUUUGCUCAUUAUUCAUCCACCUUAAAUAUAUACUCUUAAAAUACUGCAGGUUACUACAAUAAUCCUGUCAGUUCUUAUCUGUUUACAAUUUAUCUGUAAAUAUUCAAUAAACCAUUUCCACUCUUUUAUAAAAAGUUUUUUAUCUUGAUUUCUUAUUCUUCCAGGAAGUUUUGCCAUUUCUGCGUAUUCCAUAAGUUUUUGUAUCCAUUCUUCCUUUGCUGGGCUUCUUUCCAUUUUAGGGAAAGUAACAUUCUUGCCAUUGUAGUAGCAUACACAAAUAAAUUUCUAUACAGUUUAAGUAGUUCUAUCCCUAUAAUUCCCAAAAGAAAAGCUUCUGGUUUUUUUUUUUUUUUUUUACAAACGUUAUUUUAAACAUCCUUUUCAAUUCAUUAUAUAUCACCCCCCAGUAAGCUUUAACCUUACUACAAAACAUCUCUUUAAACAGUCAUAGCUUCCCCCAAGAAUUCUGGGAGCUGAAGUUGGUUAAGGGCAUUGAGAGUUGUGCGCAUACCCUCCAACAUUUCUCCAAUGAAAAUAGGGAUGCCCUGUUCCAUGGAGAGGCAAACUAAGGCCUGAGGGCCGGAUUUGGCCCAAUUGCCUUCUAAAUCCAGCCCACGGAUGGUCCGGGAAUCAGCGUAUUUUACAUGAGUAGAAUGCGUCCUUUUAUUUAAAAUGCAUCUCUGAGUUAUUUGUGGGGCCUGCCUGGUGCUUUUACAUGAGUCGAAUGUGUGCUUUUAUUUUAAAUGCAUCUCUGAGUUAUUUGUGGGGCAUAGGAAUUUGUUCAUUUCCCAAAAAAAAUAUAGUCUGGCCCCCCCACAAGGUCUGAGGGACAGUGGACCGGCCCCCUGCUGAAAAAGUUUGCUGAUCCCUGGCCUAUUCCAUUAUAAUUAUUAUAAAAAUUUUGUCAUUUAUAUGCCACCCAUUAAAAAGCAGAGACAUCACCUUGCCGACAAAGGUCCGUAUAGUUCAAGCUAUGGUUUUCCCAGUAGUGAUGUAUGGAAGUGAGAGCUGGACCAUAAAGAAGGCUGAUCGCCAAAGAAUUGAUGCUUUUGAAUUAUGGUGCUGGAGGAGACUCUUGAGAGUCCCAUGGACUGCAAGAAGAUCAAACCUCUCCAUUCUGAAGGAAAUCAGCCCUGAGUGCUCACUGGAAGGACAGAUCCUGAAGCUGAGGCUCCAAUACUUUGGCCACCUCAUGAGAAGAGAAGACUCCCUGGAAAAGACCCUGAUGUUGGGAAAGAUGGAGGGCACAAGGAGAAGGGGACGACAGAGGAUGAGAUGGUUGGACAGUGUUCUCGAAGCUACCAGCAUGAGUUUGACCAAACUGUGGGAGGCAGUGGAAGACAGGAAUGCCUGGCGUGCUCUGGUCCAGGGGGUCAUGAAGAGUCAGACACGACUAAAUGACUAAACAACAACAACAUGCCACCCAUUAAACAUUAAAACAACAUCCCUGUACAGGGCUGCUAUCAGAAGUCUUCUAAAGGUUGUCUAGUUACUUAUUUCUUUGGCUCAGAGGGCGGGGGUGUUGCAUAAUUCCAUACCGAUGUAAAUAGGAACGUCCUAUUCCAUACCCUCCAACAUUUCUCCAAAGUCAGGCAGAGAGCUGAAAAAGAAACAGUGUAAUUAAUUUUUCAUUCCUCGCUCUGCAGUGUGCCGUCUCUCCAAUCACUAUAAUUUAUGCUCGUCCUUUUCACAGGCGCAGGUUGGAUUUUGUGUCUAAACAGCGUUCCACCUUGUACCACGUCCCCCCAUGAUAAAAGGCGGGUUCAGCCAGAGUUUGCCUCUUCUCGCUGGCAGGCAGGUAUCUCCUGCGCCCUGUCCGCAUUCUUUCCAAGUGCUUCAACUUGUAAAAAAAUAAAAUAAAAAACCGCAGUCUCAAGAAACACACUGCCCCAGCCCAUCUUCCUGUACCAAGCACAUGUAAUCUCAAAGACAAAUGUUUAGAUGUUCAUAAAGUCUCUCGGCUUUGCAUGAUUAAAUGCGACUGGGGUUAUGAAAGCUAUUUCACCAUUUCCCCCCUGAAAUCUCCUUCCUUCCCUCUCUCCUGUUCUCUGUAUUCCUUCCUUCUUUCCUAUUCUCUUCCUUCCUUCCUUCCUUGGAUUUUUGAGUAAAAGUCUCCAAACUGAGGUAUAAUCGUAAAAAAAAGGGGGGGAGAAUAAAUGAUUAUAAGGUUUUAAUUACAAACCACCUUGAGUGAGCAUUUUGGUUUUUUGGUUUUUUUAUAAUAAAUUUUAUUAGUAUUUUCCACACAACAACACGAAAAAUAUCGAAAAAUAACAAUACACAAAAACCAGCAUACCAAAAAAUAUUUCCAUAUCUUACAUGUUAAUAAUAUAAGCACUAAAAAGAAAAACAAACAUUGACUUUCACCAAUCCCACAGUACCUCCUUUACCUCUCAUUAUGUCUUCCUGUUUUCCUGUUUUCCUUAUCAUCUCAAUCCUAGCAUCUAGAUAUAAAUCCCUCUUUCUUAUCCUUUCACUUCACAAGCUUAUUCCAGACUCAGCCAGAUUUCUGUCCUCAAACCUGGGCUUUUAAGGUAUUCAUUUAGGCACUCCCAUCCCUUUUUCACUUCAUUGAGUGAAGAUUUGACCUGAAAGGUAGUGCGAAAAUACCUAGAUAAAAAUGUAUACCAAUAACAAUCAAACAUUGUAUCAAUAACUCCCCCCCCCCAAAAAAAUAGUUAUCAGAAAUGAUUGGUAUCCUCCAGAGAUACAUAGUUUAUAUUAUUUUUUCCAUAAUAGCCAAAGUCAAUACUUCUUCUACCACAAAGACAAAUGGUUGGCGUGAAAUAACACACGGGACUAAUUAAUACAGGUGAGAGGGCCCAUUCGGCCUGCCAGGUGUUCCUGGACUACAACUCCCAUCAGCCCCAACAAGCAUGGCCAAUGGUCAGGGGUGAUGGGAGUUGUAGUCCAGCAACACCUGGAGGGCCAAAUGGGUCCUCUCACUUGUAUUAGUUAGCCCAGUGUCUUAUUUCAUGCAAACCAUUUGUCUUUGUGGUAGAAGAAUUUAUUGACUGAAGGAGGAUCUGAAGUAAAGCCAGAGGAAAGUGUGGCCUGGUGAGGUUGUGUAACUUGGGGAAGAGUCCCGGGGUCCGGAUUCAGAGGCACUGAGGGCCGCAUUUGUUUGAUUUCCAGUUUCGGCCCACCAGUCUAGUUUUCACCCAGCAGAAACUUCGUUGCUUUCUCUCUCUCUCUCUCUCUCUCUCUCCUCCAAGAAUCCCCUCCUUGUAUCACAGCCACUGAAUUUAAUUAGCUGCCUGCAAGCCUUGGCUCAGGGUUGGACCAUUGGUGCCAAGGCAGUAUGAAAGCUUCGUUAGCCAAUAAGCCAGAUUUAUAGCCUCACCCUGCAACGCUCUGGCUUUCUCCCACUCCGGUGAAAUAUCCUCAGCUUCUAACCAGCAUAUUCAGCAAGUCAGCCAUUAAUUCAACCCAAAGCAAAAGGAUGUGAUAGAUCAGUGUUGGCCAAACUUGGGUCUCCAGCUGCUUGGGGACCACAAUUCCCAUCAUCCCUGACCACUGGUCCUGCUAGCAAGGGAUGAUGGGAGUUGUAGUCCAAAAACAGCUGGCGACCCAAGUUUGGGAAACACUGUGAUAGAUGGUGGACCAACAGGAGAAGGUGGUCUAUUAGCGUGAAAGGGGCAUUGCCCUAUCAACCUCAGUCUGGCCUCAGCCAGACCCCUCUGCCUGCCUUCUGACUUGCCACCAAACAGGUGGUGGCUGUACCUGUCACUAGCUCCCAGUCCCCUUAAUGUUGGUUUCUCUGUCUUCCACCCUACCAGUUCCAAUGGUCUCCAGCUCCCAUGGUGGGUCAACAUCUAUUGCACAACUGUUCCGGGCUUUUUAGACUCAUCUACCCAUCACCUUGCCAACAAAGGUCCGUAUAGUUAAAGCUAUGGUUUCCCCAGUAGUGAUGUAGGGAAGUGAGAGCUGGACCAUAAAGAAGGCUGAUGCUUUUGAAUUAUGGUGCUGGAGGAGACACUUGAGAGUCCCAUGGACUGCAAGGAGAUCAAACCUAUCCAUUCUGAAGGAAAUCAGCCCUGAGUGCUCACUGGAAGGACAGGUCCUGAAGCUGAGGAUCCAAGACUUUGGCCACCUUAUGAGAAGAGAAGACUCCCUGGAAAAGACCCUGAUGUUGGGAAAGAUGAAGGGCACAAGGAGAAGAGGACAGCAGAGGACGAGAUGGUUGGACAGUGUUCUCGAAGCUACCAGCAUGAGUCUGACCAAACUGCGGGAGGCAGUGGAAGACAGGAGUGCCUGGCGUGCUCUGGUCCAGGGGGUCAUGAAGAGUCAGACACGACUAAACAACCUCAGAUCCUGUAUCCCUGAAGGAGCGACUCCACCCCCAUCGUUCAGCCCAGACACUGAGAUCCAGUGCCGAGAGCCUUCUGGCGGUUCCCUCACUGCGAGAAGUAAAGUUACAGGGAACCAGGCAGAGGGCCUUCUCGGUAGUGGCACCCACCCUGUAGAACACCCUCCCAUCAGAUGUCAAGGAAAUAAGCAGCUAUCUUAUUUUUAAAAGACAUCUGAAGGCAGCCCUGUUUAGGGAAGUUUUUAAUAUUUAAUGCUGUAUUGUUUUUAACACUGGAUCGGGAGUCACCCAGAGUGGCUGGGGAAACUCAGCCAGAUGGGCGGGGUAUAAAUAAUAAAUUAUUAUUAUUAUUAUUAAACAACACAUGUACUAUCUGAAACCCAAGGGGUGCAUUGGUUGCCUGAUGUGAUUUUCCCCCAGCUCCCCUACCUCACUAGUAAGAAUUUGGUUGCUUUUAAAAACAAAACAGAUGGGUCCAUUUGAGCCUAAUUCAAUCCCCUCCCCAUCCUUCAAGAUAUUUAACGUUCCUAAGGAUGAAGACAAAGGCAAUAGUUUCUCGGGAUGAAGACAGUGAUGAAAAAGUGUGGCUCUGGUGCAAGUUUUGCUGCAUCCAUUCGAAGGCAUUUGUUUUCAGGGCAAUGGGCAUCCGUUCAAAAUUCAAGUCACGUCCAUUGCUAUUCAAAGGCACGCUGGUCCUCCACCUUUGCUGCUCUCAGUUAUCCAGAUGACCCCUCCACACACACAACGAUACAUCUGUCUUCACCCCGAGAUGACUGUAAACAUGUUUAGUUGUGAUUCAGAUCAAGUUGUGUUUUUUCCCCCAGCACUGCAUCAGGCUGAGCCAACAAACAUGGGUCUUAAAAUAGCAUUCAGUUCCAUUAUCGUCCGCAGGAGAGGAAACACCUUGUGGGAGCAUUCAGGGAAAGGGGUGAUGUGCGCUGAGCUCUAGGGUGGGGUGGAAGGGAAUGGCUGUGGUUUCACAGCAGAACAGUGGAGAAAAAGAGGCUGUUUUCCAUGAGAGAGAGACCACCCCAUCAGCCGGCAUUCCACAGCACUGGGUUAAAGUCUGGUGGGCGGCUGUAGUAUAGACAGCUGGCCACAGGAGGGGAUGGAGCAGGAAGAGUCUAACUGCCUCCUACUUUGGGAAAUAGAUUAGCAAGAUGAAAGGAUAGGUUUUCUCCCACACAGGACUGGGUUCUUGUUUUAUUUUUAUUAUUAUUAUUAUUAUUAUUAUUAUUAUUAUUAUUAUUAUCAGUUGUGCCCCUUUUUGUACUGAGCUCCAUCAAAGAUCAACCUCUAAGCACUCAGUUCUGCCUCUUAGCUCCAGUCCUGAGACAAAAGGAACAAUGUUUAGAUUUGCCUUAAUUUCUCAUUUUUUUUCCAACCUUGGGUUUGGUUCUCAGCAUUAAUAUUUUAAUUAAUAUCUCUUCCUUUAAAUUCCUAGGAGUGUAUCUCAGUGAAGACCUUACUUGGAAAAUAAAUACAACCCAGGUGGUUAAGUAAGCCCAACAGAGACUCCAUCUCCUCAGAUUAUUGAGAAAGAACGAUGUCAAUCAACAUUUGAUGAUCUCC